Molecule: ribosomal RNA, 886 nt
Filed under: Leptospira wolffii
Lineage: Bacteria; Pseudomonadati; Spirochaetota; Leptospiria; Leptospirales; Leptospiraceae
Description: partial 23S ribosomal RNA
Rfam family: Bacterial large subunit ribosomal RNA
Source: RNAcentral
UAAAGAGUGCGUAAUAGCUCACUGGUCGAGUGAUCCCGCGCCGAAAAUGUAAUCGGGACUAAGCAUAGCACCGAAGGCACGGAUUCAGUAAUGAGUGGUAGGAGAGCGUUCUUUCUCGCGUUGAAGGCGGACCGUAAGGACUGCUGGAGCGGUAAGAAGUGAAGAUGCUGGCAUGAGUAGCGUUAGGGGAGUGAGAUUCUUCCCCACCGAUAGUCUAAGGUUUCCCCGGGAAGGCCAAUCCGCCGGGGGUUAGUCGGUCCCUAAGACGAGGCUUAGAAUGCGUAGUCGAUGGGAAGCAGGUUCAUAUUCCUGCACCGAAUGUAUUGUGCGAUGGAGUGACGCAGGAAGAUAGCUGGAGCGGGUGUGUUGGUAAUCCCCGUUGCAGGUGGUAAGCGUUGAGAGGGUUUGGAAAAUCCGGUCCUUGAGCUGAGAACUUGCAGGAUGUCCACAGUAGUGGGCCGUAGCCAGUGACUCUAGGCUGCCAAGAAAUAACUUCUAAGUUUAGGUGCAUUCGACCGUACCGCAAACCGACACAGGUAGACAAGUAGAGAAUACUAAGGUGUUCGAGAUAACUCUCGUUAAGGAACUCGGCAAAUUACUCCUGUAACUUCGGGAUAAAGGAGACCCAAGAUGUUUUAGCCCUGCGGCAAAAGAUAUCAAAGGUGGCACAGAAAUGGGGGUAGCGACUGUUUACCAAAAACACAGGACUCUGCUAACGCGGAAGCGGAAGUAUAGGGUCUGACACCUGCCCGGUGCCGGAAGGUCAAGAGGACGGGUUAGCAGCAAUGCGAAGCUCGGAAUUUAAGCCCCGGUAAACGGCGGCCGUAACUAUGACGGUCCUAAGGUAGCGAAAUUCCUUGUCGGGUAAGUUCCGACCUGCACGAAU